Molecule: long non-coding RNA, 217 nt
Filed under: Elaeis guineensis (African oil palm)
Lineage: Eukaryota; Viridiplantae; Streptophyta; Magnoliopsida; Arecales; Arecaceae
Description: long non-coding RNA (EGUI_LNC048447)
Source: RNAcentral
GUGGGAGAGAGGUGAAGAGAGAGGGUGGAGGGAAAAAGAGAGAGGAGAGUAGAAUAUUAGGUGGGGGAGAGAGAAAGAAGAGAGAUUAGGAGUGAGAGAGGAGAGAGAGAUUGGGAGGGAAAGUGAGGAGAGAGAAAGGAGAUUGAAAAGUGAGAGAUUAGGAGGAAGAAUAAGCUCAGGGAGAGAUGAUAUUAAGAGAGAUAGAGAGAGGCUACAA